This 396-nucleotide ribosomal RNA is filed under the name uncultured bacterium. Its description in RNAcentral is "bacterial SSU rRNA". It matches the Rfam family "Bacterial small subunit ribosomal RNA", at positions 127 to 518 of the family's 1533-position model. The record is from RNAcentral.
CGCCUGUAAGCGGGGAAGUAACCCGUUAGAAAGAACGGACUAAUACCGCAUAAUACUAAAUUAACUGCAUGGUAAUUUAUUUAAACAUUAUGGCUUACAGAUGGGCAUGCGCAUGAUUAGCUAGUUGGAGAGGUAACGGCUCCCCAAGGCAACGAUCAUUAGGGUUCUGAGAGGAAGGUCCCCACACUGGUACUGAGACACGGACCAGACUCCUACGGGAGGCAGCAGUGAGGAAUAUUGGUCAAUGGACGAGAGUCUGAACCAGCCAAGUCGCGUGCAGGAAGAAUGUCCUUAAUGGAUUGUAAACUGCUUUUGCAGGGGAAUAAAGUGCAUCACGUGUGAUGUUUUGUAUGUACUCUGCGAAUAAGGAUCGGCUAACUCCGUGCCAGCAGCCGC